This 342-nucleotide unclassified non-coding RNA is filed under the name soil metagenome. RNAcentral's name for it is "partial contains 5.8S ribosomal RNA, internal transcribed spacer 2, and large subunit ribosomal RNA". The stretch from base 1 to 120 matches the Rfam family "5.8S ribosomal RNA", at positions 35 to 154 of the family's 154-position model. The record is from RNAcentral.
GAUGAAGAACGCAGCGAAAUGCGAUAAGUAGUGUGAAUUGCAGAAUUCAGUGAAUCAUCGAAUCUUUGAACGCACAUUGCGCCCUUUGGUAUUCCAAAGGGCAUGCCUGUUCGAGCGUCAUUUGUACCCUCAAGCUUUGCUUGGUGUUGGGCGUCUUGUCUCUAGCUUUGCUGGAGACUCGCCUUAAAGUAAUUGGCAGCCGGCCUACUGGUUUCGGAGCGCAGCACAAGUCGCACUCUCUAUCAGCAAAGGUCUAGCAUCCAUUAAGCCUUUUUUUUCAACUUUUGACCUCGGGUCAGGUAGGGAUACCCGCUGAACUUAAGCAUAUCAAUAAGCGGAGGA